This 275-nucleotide ribosomal RNA is filed under the name uncultured bacterium. RNAcentral's name for it is "partial 16S ribosomal RNA". It matches the Rfam family "Bacterial small subunit ribosomal RNA", at positions 399 to 691 of the family's 1533-position model. The record is from RNAcentral.
GCGUGAAUGAUGAAGGCCUUAGGGUUGUAAAGUUCUUUUACCUGUGAAGAUAAUGACGGUAACAGGAGAAAAAGCACCGGCUAACUUCGUGCCAGCAGCCGCGGUAAGACGAAGGGUGCUAGCGUUGUUCGGAUUGACUGGGCGUAAAGGGCGCGUAGGCGGUUUUUUAAGUUAGGCGUGAAAGCCCUGGGCUUAACCCAGGACGUGCGCUUAAGACUGGAGAACUUGAGUUCGGAAGAGGAAAGUGGAAUUCCUAGUGUAGAGGUGAAAUUCGU